UACGUAGAAGACUAGUGUUAUUCAUCUUUAUUAGGUUUAAAGGGUACCUAGACGGUUUAACUAGUCCAAAAUAGGAUACGGUUUUACUAGAGUUAUAUAUAAGAAGGUGAGUAUUUGUGGAGUAGAGUUGAAAUUCUUUGAUACCAUGAGGACUGGUAACGGCGAAAGCAACCUUUUAUCUAAUAACUGACGUUGAGGGAUG
Molecule: ribosomal RNA, 202 nt
Filed under: uncultured prokaryote
Description: partial 16S ribosomal RNA
Rfam family: Bacterial small subunit ribosomal RNA
Source: RNAcentral